This 1011-nucleotide long non-coding RNA is filed under the name Physcomitrium patens. RNAcentral's name for it is "long non-coding RNA (PPAT_LNC003962)". The record is from RNAcentral. Lineage: Eukaryota; Viridiplantae; Streptophyta; Bryopsida; Funariales; Funariaceae.
GCCUUUGUCAAUGAUUGUUUGUAGAUUUUCAACCAUGAAUUAUUUGAAAAUUGAAUUUCCUUGUUUCUUGAGCAGGAUUUGUAUUCUCCAGUCAUUACACUCAUCUCAAAUUUUGCUAGAAUUUUUUUAACAUUUUUCUUCACCAUAUUCUUCUUUGACCCACUUUAUUGUGAGAAAAAAAUAGAAGUAUCUUCUAGUGGAGUGUUUAAUUAAACAGAAGUUUGUGGGAGUAGGGAGUGUUUGUGACAAAGUCUCAAUGAUUUUGAAAUAUAUUUUUUAUUUGUUGAAUUCAUAUUACAUCAUUCUAAUACACAAACUUGGAAUAAUUGUUUAUCAAUCAAAAACUGCAAAAUCUCUUUGUCAUCAUUUAAUCAACGUAAAGUUAGAUACUCUCAAAAAAACCUCACACAAUUAUUUCUUUCUCUGUUGCAUAAAAACAUACAAUAUUUCUUGUACAAAUUCCAUGAAAUUCACUGCAGUGUGGAUUAGUCACUCCAUUAGAAGAAACAACAUUAGCGUUUCAUUAAUAUUGAUGUAUUGAAUACAUAUUUUUAAUUACUUGUAAAAUGUUGAAAUUCUAACAUCCCAAUUUAUAGUUUUAAGACAUUUAAAGACAUAUUUAUUUAUUUAUGAAAGUAUUGUAUAUACUAGUAAAUUGAAAAUAAGUGCCAAGUUCCACCCAGAUCAUAUUCUUGCUCACAUUUUGUUUUAUUCUAGAAUUUUUGUCUUUCGUGUUUUCAUUUCAGAUAGUUGUGUUCUAAAAUAUUUAAUCAUUUUCAAUACAUUUUCAUAGAAUAAAAUGGUGUGUGUAAUACACACUAUAUAUGUAGGUGCUGCACAGAAGAGUCUGGAACAUGUUUACUAUGUGAAAAUCAUUUGACAUAUUAAGGAUUAAAAUAUAUGACAAAACUUCAAAUUUUGGUUUUAGGUUACAAACAUAAAUCAGUUAAAUAUAUAGCUCUAGCUCCAAAUCAUUCACAUUAAUUUUUUUUGUACUGAAUAUUCUUUAUG